UUUUUUUAUGGAGAGUUUGAUCCUGGCUCAGGAUGAACGCUGGCGGCGUGCCUAAUACAUGCAAGUCGAG
This 70-nucleotide ribosomal RNA is filed under the name Staphylococcus gallinarum. RNAcentral describes it as "partial 16S ribosomal RNA". It matches the Rfam family "Bacterial small subunit ribosomal RNA", at positions 1 to 66 of the family's 1533-position model. The record is from RNAcentral. Lineage: Bacteria; Bacillati; Bacillota; Bacilli; Caryophanales; Staphylococcaceae.